UAUCAACGCAGAUUACAUAUCACUCCAUCAAAAAUUCUGUAAUCACAGAAUACAGACCACUACCCCCAUUUAUUGAGCUGGCUAUGUCACGGCCAUUUAUCCAAUAGAAGCUAUUUAUAAGGACAUUUUAUUGUAAACAAGUGCAAAUGCAAUAAAUAUCUAUUAAAACUCAGGAAAUAAAUUAAAUGUUUAAAUUUUAGACAGCAUCUAUAAAUAUAAUUUAAAGUCGAGGUAAAAUUUAUGUGUUUACAAAAUAUUCAAGUUACGUGUAUCGAUUAUAAAACCGACGACAAAGUGAUUUUUUAAAAUUUUUGAGAGCCAUUUUAAGUAAAGACGCUUCGUAAAACAAAAGGAUAAUAUCCAUUAAUUGGUAAAAAAAGAUAAAAUGAUGGGUGAAAACUAGGUAAAAAGAUAAAAAAAAACUACAAUAUUGUCAAAUAUUGUACAUACAAAUCCCUCAUGACGUCAUCAGCUGGCAGUUCUUGAAGAAGUGCAGGUGGUUCUG
Long non-coding RNA from Xenia sp. Carnegie-2017, 505 nucleotides. RefSeq lists it as uncharacterized. Lineage: Eukaryota; Metazoa; Cnidaria; Anthozoa; Malacalcyonacea; Xeniidae. The transcript has 3 exons. The record is from RefSeq and is a predicted model, not a curated record.